RNAcentral lists this transfer RNA (73 nucleotides) under Nitrospira sp. RNAcentral describes it as "tRNA-Ala". It matches the Rfam family "tRNA". Rfam says of the family: Transfer RNA (tRNA) molecules are approximately 80 nucleotides in length. Their secondary structure includes four short double-helical elements and three loops (D, anti-codon, and T loops). Further hydrogen bonds mediate the characteristic L-shaped molecular structure. tRNAs have two regions of fundamental functional importance: the anti-codon, which is responsible for specific mRNA codon recognition, and the 3' end, to which the tRNAs corresponding amino acid is attached (by aminoacyl-tRNA synthetases). tRNAs cope with the degeneracy of the genetic code in two manners: having more than one tRNA (with a specific anti-codon) for a particular amino acid; and 'wobble' base-pairing, i.e. permitting non-standard base-pairing at the 3rd anti-codon position. Lineage: Bacteria; Pseudomonadati; Nitrospirota; Nitrospiria; Nitrospirales; Nitrospiraceae. RNAcentral also lists the same sequence under 8 other names. The record is from RNAcentral.
GGGGAUGUAGCUCAGUUGGGAGAGCGCCGCCUUUGCACGGCGGAGGUCAGGAGUUCGAGCCUCCUCAUCUCCA